GAUGAACGCUGGCGGCGUGCUUAACACAUGCAAGUCGAACGAUGAAAGCGGGAGCUUGCUCCUGCUGGAUUAGUGGCGAACGGGUGAGUAACACGUGAGUAACCUGCCCUUGACUCUGGGAUAAGCGUUGGAAACGACGUCUAAUACCGGAUACGACCUUCGGAGGCAUCUCCUGGGGGUGGAAAGAAUUUCGGUCAAGGAUGGACUCGCGGCCUAUCAGCUAGUUGGUGAGGUAAUGGCUCACCAAGGCGACGACGGGUAGCCGGCCUGAGAGGGUGACCGGCCACACUGGGACUGAGACACGGCCCAGACUCCUACGGGAGGCAGCAGUGGGGAAUAUUGCACAAUGGGCGCAAGCCUGAUGCAGCAACGCCGCGUGAGGGACGACGGCCUUCGGUGUAACCUACUUUAGUAGGAAGGAAGCGAAAGUGACGGUACCUGCAGAAAAAGACACCGGACGUAACUACGUAGCCAGCAG
Molecule: ribosomal RNA, 478 nt
Filed under: uncultured bacterium
Lineage: Bacteria
Description: bacterial SSU rRNA
Rfam family: Bacterial small subunit ribosomal RNA
Source: RNAcentral